UAAUGUUUUCUAUAGUUUUUAACGGCAAAUUCACCCAUGUUUAUCAUCAUUCAUAUUCACAGAAAGCAAAAUGUAAAUAAGCAAUCUUCUUCCUCACGAGUUCCCUUUCGUUCGGCAUCUUGGCAGCAGAGACGAUGAAGGACUUUCUUAUUAGAAUUGACAGCGGCAGGAUUGAAUUUGAUAGUUCACCGUGUUCAACUUGAAGCUGUUUGCGGAUUGGGAUUGAUUGGACCUUAUGAUGACGUAAGAGCACAUCCGCUAUACCAAUAAGCAAGUGUAUUAGUGCAAUGAUUAUAUGUGUACCAGGCUCUGAAGUUGGACGAAUAGACCGAGGAUGACUGAUUGAGUUCAAAUGA
Molecule: long non-coding RNA, 356 nt
Organism: Aedes aegypti (yellow fever mosquito)
Lineage: Eukaryota; Metazoa; Arthropoda; Insecta; Diptera; Culicidae
Exons: 2
Source: RefSeq, a predicted model, not a curated record